This 737-nucleotide ribosomal RNA is filed under the name Sardiniella guizhouensis. RNAcentral describes it as "Sardiniella sp. AJD-2021a partial large subunit ribosomal RNA". It matches the Rfam family "Eukaryotic large subunit ribosomal RNA", at positions 74 to 829 of the family's 3401-position model. The record is from RNAcentral. Lineage: Eukaryota; Fungi; Ascomycota; Dothideomycetes; Botryosphaeriales; Botryosphaeriaceae.
AUUGCCUUAGUAACGGCGAGUGAAGCGGCAAUAGCUCAAAUUUGAAAGCUGGCCCCUUUGGGGUCCGCAUUGUAAUUUGUAGAGGAUGAUUCGGCGAGGGCUCCCGUCUAAGUCCCCUGGAACGGGGCGUCAUAGAGGGUGAGAAUCCCGUAUGUGAUGGGUUGCCUUAGCCAUGUGAAUCUCCUUCGACGAGUCGAGUUGUUUGGGAAUGCAGCUCUAAAUGGGAGGUAAAUUUCUUCUAAAGCUAAAUACCGGCCAGAGACCGAUAGCGCACAAGUAGAGUGAUCGAAAGAUGAAAAGCACUUUGGAAAGAGAGUUAAAAAGUACGUGAAAUUGUUGAAAGGGAAGCGCUUGCAGCCAGACUUGUCCGCAGUUGCUCAGCCGGUCUCCUGACCGGCGUACUCUUCUGCGGCCAGGCCAGCAUCAGUUCGGGCGGUCGGAUAAAGGCCCCGGGAAUGUAGCUCCUCUCGGGGAGUGUUAUAGCCCGGGGUGGAAUGCGGCCAGCCUGGACUGAGGAUCUCGCUUCGGCUAGGAUGCUGGCGUAAUGGCUGUAAGCGGCCCGUCUUGAAACACGGACCAAGGAGUCUAACAUCUAUGCGAGUGUUUGGGUGUCAAACCCAUACGCGUAAUGAAAGUGAACGGAGGUGGGAACCCUCACGGGUGCACCAUCGACCGAUCCUGAUGUCUUCGGAUGGAUUUGAGUAAGAGCAUAGCUGUUGGGACCCGAAAGAUGGUGA